GACGAACGCUGGCGGCGUGCUUAACACAUGCAAGUCGAACGAGAACCACUUUAGUUUACUAGAGUGUAGUAAAGUGGCGCACGGGUGAGUAACACGUGGGCAACCUGCCUAUAAGACUGGGAUAACUUCGGGGAAACCGGAGCUAAUACCGGAUAAUUCACAUCUACACAUGUAGAUGUGCUGAAAGACGGUUUACGCUGUCACUUAUAGAUGGGCCCGCGGCGCAUUAGCUAGUUGGUGAGGUAAUGGCUCACCAAGGCAACGAUGCGUAGCCGACCUGAGAGGGUGAUCGGCCACACUGGGACUGAGACACGGCCCAGACUCCUACGGGAGGCAG
This 337-nucleotide ribosomal RNA is filed under the name uncultured Bacillota bacterium. Its description in RNAcentral is "bacterial SSU rRNA". It matches the Rfam family "Bacterial small subunit ribosomal RNA", at positions 28 to 351 of the family's 1533-position model. The record is from RNAcentral. Lineage: Bacteria; Bacillati; Bacillota.